CCCGGCGCCGCGGCCCAACCAGUCCACACAGAACCCGUUGCUGGCGCCCACCAACUUCCUGUUCGACCUGGACCGCCAGACGCAAGAGGUGGUGAAGGCCAUCAUGGCGGGUCAGCAGGCGGCCGUGGAGGGUGACAGGCUGAGCCUGCCCAUGACCCCGGAGCGGUACACGGUGUCGGCGCAGCUGACCCUGGCGCAGCUC
This is a long non-coding RNA of Pollicipes pollicipes, 202 nucleotides long. RefSeq lists it as uncharacterized. The transcript is spliced from 3 exons. The record is from RefSeq and is a predicted model, not a curated record. NCBI's taxonomy places the organism in Eukaryota, Metazoa, Arthropoda, Thecostraca, Pollicipedomorpha, Pollicipedidae.